RNAcentral lists this ribosomal RNA (1526 nucleotides) under Staphylococcus aureus. Its description in RNAcentral is "bacterial LSU rRNA". It matches the Rfam family "Bacterial large subunit ribosomal RNA", at positions 1403 to 2925 of the family's 2925-position model. The record is from RNAcentral. Lineage: Bacteria; Bacillati; Bacillota; Bacilli; Caryophanales; Staphylococcaceae.
CGACAGGCGUAGGCGAUGGAUAACAGGUUGAUAUUCCUGUACCACCUAUAAUCGUUUUAAUCGAUGGGGGGACGCAGUAGGAUAGGCGAAGCGUGCGAUUGGAUUGCACGUCUAAGCAGUAAGGCUGAGUAUUAGGCAAAUCCGGUACUCGUUAAGGCUGAGCUGUGAUGGGGAGAAGACAUUGAGUCUUCGAGUCGUUGAUUUCACACUGCCGAGAAAAGCCUCUAGAUAGAAAAUAGGUGCCCGUACCGCAAACCGACACAGGUAGUCAAGAUGAGAAUUCUAAGGUGAGCGAGCGAACUCUCGUUAAGGAACUCGGCAAAAUGACCCCGUAACUUCGGGAGAAGGGGUGCUCUUUAGGGUUAACGCCCAGAAGAGCCGCAGUGAAUAGGCCCAAGCGACUGUUUAUCAAAAACACAGGUCUCUGCUAAACCGUAAGGUGAUGUAUAGGGGCUGACGCCUGCCCGGUGCUGGAAGGUUAAGAGGAGUGGUUAGCUUCUGCGAAGCUACGAAUCGAAGCCCCAGUAAACGGCGGCCGUAACUAUAACGGUCCUAAGGUAGCGAAAUUCCUUGUCGGGUAAGUUCCGACCCGCACGAAAGGCGUAACGAUUUGGGCACUGUCUCAACGAGAGACUCGGUGAAAUCAUAGUACCUGUGAAGAUGCAGGUUACCCGCGACAGGACGGAAAGACCCCGUGGAGCUUUACUGUAGCCUGAUAUUGAAAUUCGGCACAGCUUGUACAGGAUAGGUAGGAGCCUUUGAAACGUGAGCGCUAGCUUACGUGGAGGCGCUGGUGGGAUACUACCCUAGCUGUGUUGGCUUUCUAACCCGCACCACUUAUCGUGGUGGGAGACAGUGUCAGGCGGGCAGUUUGACUGGGGCGGUCGCCUCCUAAAAGGUAACGGAGGCGCUCAAAGGUUCCCUCAGAAUGGUUGGAAAUCAUUCAUAGAGUGUAAAGGCAUAAGGGAGCUUGACUGCGAGACCUACAAGUCGAGCAGGGUCGAAAGACGGACUUAGUGAUCCGGUGGUUCCGCAUGGAAGGGCCAUCGCUCAACGGAUAAAAGCUACCCCGGGGAUAACAGGCUUAUCUCCCCCAAGAGUUCACAUCGACGGGGAGGUUUGGCACCUCGAUGUCGGCUCAUCGCAUCCUGGGGCUGUAGUCGGUCCCAAGGGUUGGGCUGUUCGCCCAUUAAAGCGGUACGCGAGCUGGGUUCAGAACGUCGUGAGACAGUUCGGUCCCUAUCCGUCGUGGGCGUAGGAAAUUUGAGAGGAGCUGUCCUUAGUACGAGAGGACCGGGAUGGACAUACCUCUGGUGUACCAGUUGUCGUGCCAACGGCAUAGCUGGGUAGCUAUGUGUGGACGGGAUAAGUGCUGAAAGCAUCUAAGCAUGAAGCCCCCCUCAAGAUGAGAUUUCCCAACUUCGGUUAUAAGAUCCCUCAAAGAUGAUGAGGUUAAUAGGUUCGAGGUGGAAGCAUGGUGACAUGUGGAGCUGACGAAUACUAAUCGAUCGAAGACUUAAUCAAAA